This 1726-nucleotide ribosomal RNA is filed under the name Acartia erythraea. Its description in RNAcentral is "SSU rRNA". It matches the Rfam family "Eukaryotic small subunit ribosomal RNA", at positions 81 to 1699 of the family's 1831-position model. The record is from RNAcentral. Lineage: Eukaryota; Metazoa; Arthropoda; Copepoda; Calanoida; Acartiidae.
GUGAAACCGCGAAUGGCUCAUUAAAUCACACCUAAUCUACUGGAAAGUCCCCAGUUACUUGGAUAACUGAGGUAAUUCUUGAGCUAAUACAUGCGAGAAAACCCGACUCACGGAGGGUUGCUUUUAUUAGAUCAAAACCAAACGGCAGCAAUGCCGUCCACCUUGGCGAUUCUGAAUAACUUUGGGCCGAUAGCAUUGCCUUGCGCAGGCUACGUUUCCUUCGAAGGUGUGCCCUAUCAACUUUCGACUGUGACACAGCUGAUCACAGUGGUUUUGACGGGUAACGGGGAAUCAGGGUUCGAUUCCGGAGAGGGAGCCUUAAAAACGGCUACCACAUCCAAGGAAGGCAGCAGGCACGCAAAUUACCCAAUGGUCGAAGACCGAGGUAGUGACGAAAAAUAACAAUACUGGACUCUUCCGAGGCCCAGUAAUUGGAAUGAGUACACUUUAAAACCGUUCCCGAGGAUCUAUUGGAGGGCAAGUCUGGUGCCAGCAGCCGCGGUAAUUCCAGCUCCAAUAGCGUAUAUAAAUGUUGUUGUGGUUAAAAAGCUCGUAGUUGGAUCUCGGCGGGCAGCGGUCGGUCCGAAUCGCUUCGGUACUGACGCGUUUGGCCCGUGUGUGUUUGCCGACUUCCGGGCCGGUGCUCUUGAUCGGGUGUCGGCUUCAGGGGUCGGGCCGGCUUCGGCCGUGCUCGGCCCUGCGGAUCGGCAGUUUUACUUUGAAAAAAUUAGGGUGCUCAAAGCAGGCUUGUCACGCUUGAAUAUUCGUGCAUGGAAUAAUGGAAUAGGAAGUCGUUCCUAUUUUGUUGGUUUUCGGGAACCGACUUAAUGAUUAAUAGGGACAGUCGGGGGCAUUUGUAUUCAGACCCUAGAGGUGAAAUUCUUGAACCGUCUGAAGACAAACUACUGCGAAAGCAUUUGCCAAGGAUGUUUUCCUUAAUCAAGAACGAAAGUUAGAGGUUCGAAGGCGAUUAGAUACCGCCCUAGUUCUAACCAUAAACGAUGCCAGCCAGCGAUCUGCCGGUGUUUCAUCUUGAACGACUUGGCAGGGAGCUUCCGGGAAACCAAAGCUUGUGGGUUCCAGGGGAAGUAUGGUUGCAAAGCUGAAACUUAAAGUAAUUGACGGAAGGGCACCACCAGGAGUGGAGCCUGUGGCUUAAUUUGACUCAACACGGGAAAUCUCACCAGGCCCGGACACCAGAAGGAUUGACAGAUUGAUAGCUCUUUCUUGAUUUGGUGGAUGGUGGUGCAUGGCCGUUCUUAGUUGGUGGAGUGAUUUGUCUGGUUAAUUCCGAUAACGAACGAGACUCUGUCCUGCUAAAUAGGCCCGACCUUUUCUUAUUUCAGGCUGGCCAGCGUCGGCUUCGGUUUGUGUUCGGCGGCGCCUCCGGUGUCCGUCGGGGCGGCCGGGUCGCGCCCCAGCCUGCGGGUCGGGUUUUCUUCUUAGAGGGACUGGCGAUUGUUAGUCGCACGAGAUAGAGCAAUAACAGGUCUGUGAUGCCCUUAGAUGUUCUGGGCCGCACACGCGCUACACUGAAAAGAUCAGUAGUUUCUCCCUCUCCGAGAGGAGCGGGAAAACUGUUGAACCCUUUUCGUGGUAGGGAUUGGAGCUUGCAAUUGUUCUCCAUGAACCAGGAAUUCCCAGUAGGCGCGAGUCAUAAGCUCGCGUCGAUUACGUCCCUGCCCUUUGUACACACCGCCCGUCGCUACUACCGAUUGAGUGUUUU